UAUUAAAAAAGCGCCAGGACUUAUUUUUAUAAGUUGACGAGGUUGGGGAGUUAUCGAGUACUUCGGCGGGUGCCCCACGGUAUCACACUACCGUAAACAGCUGGUAAACCUAUAAAGUGAUUUAUAGUACAAAUUCAG
Molecule: non-coding RNA, 138 nt
Filed under: uncultured Clostridium sp.
Lineage: Bacteria; Bacillati; Bacillota; Clostridia; Eubacteriales; Clostridiaceae
Description: glmS glucosamine-6-phosphate activated ribozyme
Rfam family: glmS glucosamine-6-phosphate activated ribozyme aptamer
About the family: This entry contains a glucosamine-6-phosphate activated ribozyme that is found in the mRNA for GlmS. GlmS is an enzyme that uses fructose-6-phosphate and glutamine to generate glucosamine-6-phosphate. The ribozyme catalyses self cleavage of the glmS mRNA that is thought to regulate GlmS activity.
Source: RNAcentral